Molecule: transfer RNA, 70 nt
Filed under: Dipodomys ordii (Ord's kangaroo rat)
Lineage: Eukaryota; Metazoa; Chordata; Mammalia; Rodentia; Heteromyidae
Rfam family: tRNA
About the family: Transfer RNA (tRNA) molecules are approximately 80 nucleotides in length. Their secondary structure includes four short double-helical elements and three loops (D, anti-codon, and T loops). Further hydrogen bonds mediate the characteristic L-shaped molecular structure. tRNAs have two regions of fundamental functional importance: the anti-codon, which is responsible for specific mRNA codon recognition, and the 3' end, to which the tRNAs corresponding amino acid is attached (by aminoacyl-tRNA synthetases). tRNAs cope with the degeneracy of the genetic code in two manners: having more than one tRNA (with a specific anti-codon) for a particular amino acid; and 'wobble' base-pairing, i.e. permitting non-standard base-pairing at the 3rd anti-codon position.
Source: Rfam by way of RNAcentral
GGGAAUGUGGCUUUGUGGUAGAGUGCUUGCCUAGCACGCAUGAAGCUCUGGGUUCAAUUCCUCAGUACCA